CCCUUAGAUGUUCUGGGCCGCACGCGCGCUACACUGAUGCAAUCAACGAGUUCCUUGGCCGAGAGGCCUGGGCAAUCUUUUGAACCUGCAUCGUGAUAGGGAUAGAUUCUUGCAAUUAUUAAUCUUGAACGAGGAAUUCCUAGUAAACGCAGAUCAUCAAUCUGCAUUGAUUACGUCCCUGCCCUUUGUACACACCGCCCGUUGCACCUACCGAUUGAAUGGUCCGGUGAAGCCUCGGGAUUGCGACUGGUGCCUUUAUUGGUGUUGGUUGCGAGAACUUGUCUAAACCUUAUCAUUUAGAGGAAGGUGAAGUCGUAACA
RNAcentral lists this ribosomal RNA (320 nucleotides) under uncultured eukaryote. RNAcentral describes it as "partial 18S ribosomal RNA". It matches the Rfam family "Eukaryotic small subunit ribosomal RNA", at positions 1470 to 1796 of the family's 1831-position model. The record is from RNAcentral.